This 253-nucleotide ribosomal RNA is filed under the name uncultured bacterium. RNAcentral's name for it is "partial 16S ribosomal RNA". It matches the Rfam family "Bacterial small subunit ribosomal RNA", at positions 524 to 776 of the family's 1533-position model. The record is from RNAcentral.
UACGGAGGUCCCAAGCGUUGUUCGGAUUCACUGGGCGUAAAGGGUGCGUAGGCGGUCGGGUAAGUCUGGCGUGAAAUCUCCAAGCCUAACUUGGAAACUGCGUUGGAUACUAUCCGGCUCGAGGAAUGGAGGGGAGACUGGAAUACUUGGUGUAGCAGUGAAAUGCGUAGAUAUCAAGUGGAACACCAGUGGCGAAGGCGAGUCUCUGGACAGUUCCUGACGCUGAGGCACGAAAGCCAGGGGAGCAAACGGG